UGUUGAAGUAAAGUUAGGUUAGGUAGCUGUCAGUUUAUUUUUUUGUUUUCAGCUUUCUUUUGACGUUUCUGGCAGGGCUAUGAAAGUCUCAGCUGACUCCAUAAGAAAUACAUGGGGAGCUUACGGAACGACAUAAAGAGGUCACUGGCGUCACUAAAGGUGCUCCGACCUUGAAGAACAUAGUUUCUUUUUCAUUUUAAGGUUUUCGGUGAACGUUUUGUCUGGUUUUGUCAACAAGAAAUGUCAUAUUAUUUACGGAAUCAUACGGGAUGUUGGGUUAUGGGGUUAAAAACAAACGUAAAAUUUAUUGUAACAAAGUAAUAGAUACUUACGACACAGUCUUACGAUACAUGUAAAAAAUACUAGAAAAUUCCAGGCUAAAGAGGUCAACAAACUGCAGUGUGUAAAAAAUUCUAACUCUAAUAAAAACUGAGACGAGGUAAUCAAGAGGAAAGUCUUUGCAGGGGUGGUGGAAUGGUAUUUUUGUAUGGUUCGUUUUUUAGCCGCAAACCAGUUAACGAAUACAGUGCAUAAAUUGGGAAAAACUCACAAAAUGUAUUACCCACUACCGGAGUAUAAACUGCAAAAUGUUCAGGUGGCAUCAUUAAAUCGCCAAAAAUCACAUCUUCAUUGAAAACUUUAAAAUGUCACAGAAUUAAAACAGGAUGUACCACUUCGUAAGAAUGUGCAAAGUUCUCACAAACUUCGCAGAAGUGGUGGUGUAAGAAUUUUCGUAUUAAUGAAUAUCCACAAACAUACCAUAAACAGUUGUGUUCUUUCAAGGUGAGUUUCCGGUAACUCACAUCACUUAAUGAUUCUUGAAGAGACCGGAAUACAGGGAAGAUGUGUUGUGGAAGUUUAUUUAAAAGAACACCUUAGCAAAUUUUUCAUUUCAAAUAAAAUAGUGUUUCACAGUUGGUUCUUGCACUUGUAUCGAAAUAAUCUGUAGUAAAUAGUUUCCGAAACGUUCUUUGGAAUUCUAUUGGUGUGGGAUUUAUACAAUUCCCAAAUUGACGCCUCACAGAGCCAAACAAAUAUGUCAAACAAUACUGAUUUAGUUGCAGCAACCUUUUAGUGAAAAUUGUAAACAAAUUGUAUUCUGUGAAAACUAUUAAAAAUAAUAAGCAAAAUGUUUAUGUUCCUGAA
Zophobas morio is the source of this 1146-nucleotide long non-coding RNA. RefSeq lists it as uncharacterized. Lineage: Eukaryota; Metazoa; Arthropoda; Insecta; Coleoptera; Tenebrionidae. The record is from RefSeq and is a predicted model, not a curated record. The transcript is spliced from 2 exons.